Molecule: small nuclear RNA, 106 nt
Organism: Chlorocebus sabaeus (green monkey)
Lineage: Eukaryota; Metazoa; Chordata; Mammalia; Primates; Cercopithecidae
Source: Ensembl
GUCCUCAUUUCAGCAGUACAUAUACUAAAAUUAGAAUGAUACAGAGAAGAUUAGCAUGGCCCUGUACAAGGAUGAUAUGCAAAUUCAUGAAGCAUUAUAAAAUAAU